RNAcentral lists this ribosomal RNA (460 nucleotides) under Yamadazyma mexicana. Its description in RNAcentral is "eukaryotic LSU rRNA". It matches the Rfam family "Eukaryotic large subunit ribosomal RNA", at positions 74 to 541 of the family's 3401-position model. Lineage: Eukaryota; Fungi; Ascomycota; Pichiomycetes; Serinales; Debaryomycetaceae. The record is from RNAcentral.
AUUGCCUUAGUAGCGGCGAGUGAGCGGCAAUAGCUCAAUUUGAAAUCUGGCACCUUCGGUGUCCGAGUUGUAAUUUGAAGAAGGUAUCUUUGGUUUUGGCUCUUGUCUAUGUUCCUUGGAACAGGACGUCACAGAGGGUGAGAAUCCCGUGCGAUGAGAUGCCCAAUUCCAUGUAAAGUUCCUUCGACGAGUCGAGUUGUUUGGGAAUGCAGCUCUAAGUGGGUGGUAAAUUCCAUCUAAAGCUAAAUAUUGGCGAGAGACCGAUAGCGAACAAGUACUGUGAAGGAAAGAUGAAAAGAACUUUGAAAAGAGAGUGAAAAAGUACGUGAAAUUGUUGAAAGGGAAGGGCUUGAGGUCAGACUUGGUUUUACCAGGCCAGCAUCAGUUUGGAUGGCAGGAUAAUAGCUUAGGAAUGUGGCACUGCUUCGGUAGUGUGUUAUAGCCUGGGUUGAUACUGCCU